This is a long non-coding RNA of Marmota monax (woodchuck), 8508 nucleotides long. RefSeq lists it as uncharacterized. The transcript has 2 exons. Lineage: Eukaryota; Metazoa; Chordata; Mammalia; Rodentia; Sciuridae. The record is from RefSeq and is a predicted model, not a curated record.
UCCCGCCGCAGCCUAGAGCGCCUGGCCCUGCAGCUGAGGGACGUGGACAUCGCCCCCAAGGAGCUGGGCGAGGGAAGAAGCAGGUGACCUUGGGGAGGCCCCGCGAGGAGGCGGAUCCCUAACUUAAUUUGGCUGCUUCUGUGAGGAAAGGGGCAGGUGGUCCAGGAGAUUACGUCCCAGGCGAAAAAAAAAAACAACGGGGCCCAGAAAUAAUGAGGUGUGUUUGAGGACAUCAGGAGGUAUAAAAUCUAUGGCUCAAAUAAUUGAAAAGUCCAGAGUGGGCCAGGAUCGGCUGAAUGCAGGGGCCAAAAUAUAUGAGGAACCUGUGGCUCACCAUCCCUAGUUCAGUUUUCCCAUGCAUUUAGAUUCACCCUCAGGCAGGGUAUCCUCUCUUGGUGGCAAGAUGGCUUUCCCUAUCUCCAGACGUAAUUCCCAACAGCUUAGCAACUUGGUAGAAGGAGAACACUUUUUUUUUUGCCCCCUGAGAUUUCCGAUAAAAUUUCCAGAACUAACUGAUUGGAUCAAGUGCCCAUCCUGGAACACAGAGGUAAGUAACCCAAGAGAUGGAGAUAAAUGCUCUGACUCGCAUAAGACUGAGGGCAGCCAGAUGGGGCUGGAAGAACUUACUGUGAAAAAGUAAUUUCUGACCUAGCCAAUCUGCUGGCUCUAACCAAGCUAUCAUCAUGUCAGAGACGGCCUUUGUUAGGUUCUUCAUCAUCAUCUUUGUCUACCCUGCUUCAGAGAGAGAUGCCAAUGGGAGGGAAUCUCUAUCUGUGAUCUACCCCUGCAUAUCUUUAUACACCUUCUGUAGUUGGGCCAUCCACCCGGGGGAGAGACAGCUGAGGAAUACAGAAGGGCAAAGGGCUGUUGAUGAGUUAGGUUUGGAAGUGUUGUGUCUAAACUGCCCAGGAAAGUGUGUGUGUGUGUAUGCUGGGAAUUGAACCCAGGGCCUCACACAUGUGAGGCAAGCACUCUACUGCUGACCUACAUUCCCAGCCCCCAAUAAAACCUUGAGAUUACUGAAAUAUUCUACAUUAACAUUUUGUAUUGCAGCCAUGACCACAUAUGGCUAUUAAGCACUUGAAAUGUGGCAAGGAUGACUAAGGAACUUAAGUUUUAAUUUUUUAAAAUAGUCACAUGUAAUGAGUGUCUACUGUAUUAGAUGCAUCAGGAGGUGUUCUUGAAGAGCUAGGUGGAGCUGUCCAGCAGAGAUGAAUUUACAGUCUGAACUGUACAAAGCAGUUUGGUGAUCAGACAUGAGGAACAACGGUUGAAGCCAUGGACAUGAAUGAGACAGUCCAGGUAAUAUAUGUAGAGAAGAGACCUCGUUCUGGGAAACAACCCUAAACAGGCAGAGAAAUAGAAAGUGUUGAGAUGAUGUUUUGAAUCAUUUCCCAGAAGUGUUCUGAGAUGAGGGUUUGUGUUCAAAUGUAUUCAAAUUAUUUAUUAAGAAAGUGCUACCUGGAGCUGGGCAUGGUGGCACAUACAUCCCUGUAAUCCCAGAGAUUCUGGAGGCUCAGGUGGCCUCUACAUUUUAACAAAACCCUAUCUCAAAAUAAAAAAUAGAAAGGACUGGGGAUGUGGCUCAGGGGUAAAGUACCCUUGGAUUCAAUCCCCAAUAUCAAAAUGCAACAAAGCUACCUCAGCUUGGGGUGUAGCCCACUAAUAGAGCAUGUGGAUAGCAUACUUGAGGCCCAGAGUUCAAUCUGAUUGCCAUCCCACCAAAAAAAAAAAAAAAAAAAAAAUGCUACCAAGAGAAACCAGUAAGGGAGCAGGAGGAGAAAAAGGAAGCCAAGCAAGCACAUGAUUAUUGGGCAGAGAGUACUUCAGUUAGAGCCACAAGGGAGCCCUGGAAGUAAGUUAUGCCUCAGAUUUGUCCAGAAACAAGGGAUUUGGCCCUUUUGUACUUUCACAUCCCUCAGAAGUCGAGUCCCAGGCACUUCUGUCAAGGCAAAGCCCUCCAGCAGCAUGAGGAAUAAUGAAUUAAUAAAUUAUAAAAAGGCGGGAGUUCUAACUGUUGGAAGAGAAGCCAUAUGCCAAAGGUGGGCACUGUGGUAAUACAGGACGUGUGAGAGGGAAAUGGGCAAAUGCACAAGCGCAUACAGGACAUGAAAGGAUCCAUGGGAGUGGUGCUACGUACUGCCACUGUCUCUUACAGAAGAUGUUGAUACGGAGAGAUUGCUAAGUGACCUUGGGGAAAGUAAUUUUAGGGAGGUGGUGGUAGCAGAUGCCAAGUGUUAGUGCUUUAAGGAGUGAAUGAAGUGGAAGGAGGAAUGGGGAGAGCUGUUUUACAGGUGUGCUGAAAAGGGAAGGUCAGAAAUGGAAGGUUGGAGUUUGAGAAGGUAGGAAGGGGCUGGCGGGGUAACUCAGUGGUAGAGUGCUUGUCUGGCAUGCACUGGGUUCAACCCCCAGCACCACUACUACCACCCCCAAAGGUGGGAAGGUUUGCUGAGGGAGUCUUGGAAGUCUAAGGGGAAGGAAGCUAGUAGACAGAAUGGCCAUUGAAGGAAGGAGUUUUGGGGAAGAUGGGACAGGAUGGCAUCUUGGGCCAAGUUAAACCAAGGUAUUAAUAUGAAAGGGAGAAACAUUUCUUCCUCAGGAAUAGGUUAAUACUCAGGGUACCACAAAUGAUAUAAACCCCAAUUCAAGCUAGUUUAAACAUGAAGAGGGGGUAGUUUGUCAGUUAAAAGAAUUAAAUAAGAAGUAAUGACUUCAGGCAUGGCUGGAUCCAGGGGUUCUAACAAUGUCAUUUUGAACUUGGCCUCUGGCUCUUUUAGCUCUGCUUUCCUCUGGGCUGCCUUUAUUCUCAGACAGGUAUUCUCCUUGAUAGCAAGAUGGCCCACAGCAGCUCUAAGCUUUGUUCUACAAGCUCAAGGGAAAAGAUCAUAGCUUUCCUGAUGGCUUCACCAAAAGAAAUAGGGCAAUCAUCAGCUCAGCUUUUAGUCACCUUAAGACCAUCUCUUGGAUAAUAAUUUGUCACUGGGUAUGGUGGGACACACCUGUAAUCCCAGCAACUUGGGUGGCUGAGGCAGGAUGAUCACAAGUUCAAGACCAGCCUGGGCAACUUAGUAAGGACCUAUUUCAAAAUAAAAAAUAGUGCUGGGGAUAUAGCUGAGUUGGUAGCGUGCCUGCCUCACAUGCACAAGGCCCUGGAUUCAAUCCCCAGCACCACACACACACACACACAAAAUAAGAAAAAAAAAAAAAAGGGAAAAAGGUGGGGGCUAGGGUUGUAGUUCAAUAGUGAAGUGCCCCUCGGUUCAAUCCCCAGUACUGAAAAAAUAAGAAUUUUAUUCUUUGUCCCAGGUUCCUAGCAGAGCUGCUAAAACAUGCACAAUUUCCUAAGUGAUAGAAACAAUUUAUGAAGAAUCCCUUUGGUUAUACUGAAGUUUUUGCUAAUGAGUAUUCAUGGCAGCCCGUAUGUAGCUUCAGUAUGGGGCGAGCACCAGAAAGAACCUGGUGAUUUGUGGAUUGGAAUUUGGAGCCUGUGGACCUGGAGAUUGAAAUGAUUCACAUGACCAGUGAUUUAUUAAUCACCCAUGCCUAAAUCAUGAAACCCCAAUAAAAAUUCAGGAUGCUGGAGACCAACAGGUGUGAAUGCACCGAUGUACCAGGAGGGUGAAGUACCUGGAGUUCACAGGGACAGUGUCCUGGAACUCUGCCUUUGACUCUCCCAGAAUUUGCCCUGUGCCUUUGCCUGUUAUUACUUGGCAGGUCUUAAUUUGUAUCCAAUGAAACGAAUCCCAAGUGUAGCACUACCUGCAUUCUGAGUCAUUCUUGUGACUUACUGAACCUGAGAGUGUGGCCGCCUCUAAGGCAGCCAUGCAUGGCUAAGCCACCUAGGCCACCUCUCAAAUGCCUUUGAUUGAGCAGCUUUUGUGAUGUUCACAGUAUUUCCAAUUUGGAUACCUUCUUUCACAGCUGAAUGACACGUGUGUGGUCAGCACUGUUUGAAGGGCACCCAGGGUUGGCGUGCAGGGGUGGAGGGCAGAUGGGUAGGCCUGGGUACAGACAGGAAGUUGGUGCAAUGGUCCAGGAAAGGCUGAUGCUAACCUGACAAAGGCAGUACAGUGGGGCCUGUACCCAGGGGAAUAUCCAGAGAUUUUUGAGGACAUAGUGCCAGGCUGGCUGGUGGGAAAAAGAGUGCAGGAUGCCAUUGAACUUCUGUAAGGGCCUGAUGAGUGGCACUGAGGACAAAGUUUUGGGAUUUCUUCCUCAGUUAGCUACUAUGCACUCAUUCAAAUGACAAUAACAAGGCAGGAGAAUCACAAAUUUGAGGCCAGCCUGGGCAACUUGAUGAGACCCUAUCUUAAAAAAAAAAGGGGGGGGGCUGGGGCUUAGCAUGUAGUGGAGGCACUGGGUUCGUGCCUCAGCGCCACAUAAAAAAGAUAAAUAAAGGUGUCCAUCUACAACUAAAAAUAUAUUUUAAAAAUAUUUUUAGUUGUUGAUGGACCUUUUAUUUUAUUUAUUUGUAUGUGAUGCUGAGAAUCAAACCCAGUGCCUCACGCAAGCCGGGCAAGCACACUAACACUGAGCCCCAGCCCCAGCCCACAACUAAAAAUAUUUAAAACAACAACAACAACAACAAACUUGAGAGGGUCUCUAAAAACUUCAGAAAUAAAAAAAAUCUUAGAGAUCAUAGUUAACUUCCAUCCCCAAUUUAUAGAUAAUAAAGCCAAGGCCCAUAUAGAUGCAGCAAAUCAUUUUUAUUUACAAAGUGGAUAUGAAUACAAAUUUUGUUUUCCAUUAAAAACAUCAAGAAACUUAAAAGCCCAACAGAAAGGCUCAACUGAUUGAUACAAGUCAUUUCUUCAUUGAAUGAUUUGUUCAUCUAAACGUCACUAUUGUUAAACAAUAAAUUCUUGUUGUCAUAAGCUGGUGAGACAGGAUAGCAGAAACAGAACCAAGCAAGCUAGUAAUUUGGGAUAUCUAGGUGCUAUGAAAAAAAUCAAAGGACAACUGACAAGAGGGCUACUUGAGGUAAGAAGUGAUGUCGUCCCAGGUAGACUGUUGAAUGAGGACAAGCCAUGGGGAAAGCUGGGGGCAGCAUUCCAGGAAAGGGAAGAACAUUUGCAAAGAUCCUGGGGGAAUGGUCUGGGGCUGUGGCUCAGCAAGCACUCAUCUCACACGUGUGAGACCCUGGGCUCGAUCCAAGUGAAAUAAAGGUGUUGUGUCUAACUACAACUAAAAAAAUAUUAAAAAAAAAAAAAAAAAGAUCCUGGGGGGAGACAAUCUUAGGAUGUUUGUAAAACAGAUGACCUGUCUGGCUGCGGGGAGAGUGAGUGAAAUGAGUGAUAUUAGAUAGAUUCAAAGGUGGGCAGGGGCCAGAUAUGCAGCCACAGGGAAGAGUCUUGAUUGUGUGUUGACACCAGCCAUAUUAAGAUAUAAUUCAUCUAUCACCUGCUCCCACUGAGAUGCAACUCACACAUUUAAAGUAGAAAUUUAGAUUUCAUUCUAAGUGCAAUGAAAAAUUACUCAGGUAAGAUGGAUGUUUGUUUAUUUACUUACAGUGCUGGGGAUUGAACCUAGGGCUUUGCACAUGAUAAGCAUGUGUUCUACCACUGAGCUACACUCCAACCCCCGACCACAUUUUAAAGACUGUGUGGAGAGUGGACUUGACAGAUAUUAAGAAUAAGAACAGAGCCUACAGGACCUACUAGAGAGCUCUUGAGGUAACCUAGAUGAUGGACGAUCCCAAAAUGAACCACAGUGUUAACAGUGGUAAGGGUGACAAAUGGUCACAUUUGAGAUCUAGUGUGGGGAGGAAACCUACAGGUCUGGGUACUGGGUUAGGUGUGGGAAAAGGGGAAGAGAGUGUGGUAUUGCCUUUUAUUUAAUGUAUAAGAGUGUCAGAAGCCAGGUGUGGCGGGCAUGUGCUUGUAAUCCCAACGACUUGUGAGGCUGAGCAGGGGGAUCCCAAAUCUGAGGCUAGCCUAGGCAACUUAGUGAGACCCUCUCUCAAAAAUAAAAAUUAAAACGGCUGGGGGUGGAGCUCAGAGGUAGAGUAGCCCUGGGUUCAAUCCUACAAUACCCAGUAAUAGCAGGGGUAAGGGAGGAGAGUGUGGGAGAAAAAUGAGCCCUGUUUUGCAUAUAUUGAGUCUAGUACCAUAAUACUGGCCCCUUCAGUUGGGAAGACUGAUUAGUAGUUCAAGUGUACUGCGUGCAUGACCGAUGUGAUUCUGCAACAUGUACAAUCAGAAAAAUGAGAAAUUAUAUUUCAUUUAUGUAUAUCAAAGUACAUAAAUGAUUGUCAUGUGUAACUAAUUAGGAAAAAUUAAAAAAUUAAUUUAAAAAAUAGUUUUAAGGGUGGGGUUGUGGCUCAGUGGUAGAGUGCUCGCCUACCAUGUGUGAAUCACUGGGUUCGAUUCUCAGCACCACAUAUAAACAAAUAAAAUAAAGGUCUGUCAAAAACUAAAAUAUAUAUAUAUAUAUAUUUCAGAGGCCUACAGAUGAAAAUGGCCAGGCACAAAGGACAGAGAAACAGAUGAAGCCUACCCCCAGCUCUUCUUAAGUCACUGUCUCAGGAUCAAAACCCAAGAAAUAUAUCUUGGUACCACGCCCUGUUGAGAGAUGGUAGUUAAGGGGGCUGAGGAUGUGGCUCAAGCGGUAGUGCGCUCGCCUGGCAUGCGUGCGGCCUGGGUUCGAUCCUCAGCACCACAUACAAAGAUGUUGUGUCCGCCGAAAACUAAAAAAUAAAUAUUAAAAAUUCUAAAAAAAAAAAAAUUCCAUCCCAGGGACUGGGUUGUAGCUCAGUGGUAGAGCGCUCGCCUCGCACGUUCGAGACCCUGGGUUCAAUCCUCAGCACCACAUAAAAAUAAAUAAGUGAGAGAUGGUAGUUAGGAUGUAUUUGGCUGCAAAAAAACCCCCAGAUGAUCCUGUUUAAACCAUAAGGACACUCCUCAUUUCACAUCAGUAGUCUUCUUGGGCAUUCUUUGCUUUGUCCUUCUCUGGGAUUUGGCCUUGUCAUCAACUGGGAGAAAGAUGGGCACAGCAGUUCCAGGUUUCCUAUCCAGACCUCACAACAUCCAGAGAAGGAUGUGCAUCUCUUCAAUGCCUCCUUAACAAUAAGGAAUCCUUGCCAAAUUAUUUUGUUAUAUUAUGUGCAUGUAUAGAUAUAUAAUGAAUUUUUUUUUUGUUUUAGAUGUUGAUGGACCUCUAUUUUAUUCAUUUAUUUACAUGCAGUGCUGAGAAUUGAACCCAGUGCCUCACACAUGCUAGGCAAGCGCUCCACCACUGAGCCACAACCCCAGCCUGAUAUAUAAUGAAUUUCACCAUUAUAAUUAUAAUGCUCCAAAAAAAAAAAUAUGGGUCAGGGUGAGGAAUUCUUCCCUGACCCGCCCCCCGCCCCAAGCAAGCAGAUCUCUUACUAAUCCCUGGUCUGAAAGAAGUCACACAUCCAGCCCUAAACAAAACCCCUGCAAGGAGAACUGGCCCACUAAAAUUGGAAUAGACCUGUUAGGAUUUCUUCCUGGAGCUGGGGAAAAGGCCAUCCUGAACUAAAUCAGAACACUGCUGGGAGAAAGAAAAAUGGCUGUUAAGCAGGAGUUCAAAGUCUGCCACACAGUAGAAAAAACAGAUUGCUGGGGUUGGGAGGUGGAAAGCCAUUUGAUUUUAAGAGCAUCUUUCUAAGGAGUUCAAGAUUCUAGGACAAGCAAGGUGGAGCAAACCUGCAAUCCCAGUGACUUAGGAUUUUGAAACAGGAGGAUCACAAGUUCAAGGCCAGCCUCAGCAAUUUAGGGAGACCCUCAUCAACUUACACCCUUCCUCAAAAUAAAAAGGACUGAGGAUGUAGCUUAGAGGUAAAGCUCCCCUGAGUUUGAUUCCUAGUACAACAAAAGAAAAGUUCAAGAUUCUGCAUAAAGAAUUUUUCUUCCAACUGUAAACACAUAAAUGUUUGAGAGAGAAAAAUCUCCAAGCAAAUUCAGCCUUCUAAAGUUGCAAGUAUUUCAAUUUCCUUUGUCUCCACCCCUUAUACACAUGCUAUUUUUCUACAGUGGCCAGGAGCUCUUCAUUUAACGUUGCUCACAGGUGUUUUCACAGGUGUCUGGCUCUCCUGGACUCUACCUCUGAACCUACAUUUCACCCCAGUUGCUCAGGAGGCAAAUUUGAGGCCAGGUGGUGCAACUUAGUGGCACUCUAUGGCAAAAUAAAGUGCUAGAGAUGUAGAGUUCUUGCCCAGCAUGCACAAGGCCCUGGGUUCAAGCCCCAGAACUGCGAGGGCGGGGUGGGGGACCAUGUAACCAUAUCCAGACUAGACUGGACCUUUGUGCUCUUUCCACUCUUUCACAGUAAUAUGGUCGUAAGUACAGAGGGACAUCUUGAAGAGACUGUACAUCUGAGGAAAUUCUCUGCAGUCAAACCUGUUCCCCAAUAUCAGUGUCAGUCAACUUCUCAGCCUCCACUGAUUUACCAGAUGAGAUCCAUUCUAUGGCUUGGAACUGUUCCUCAAACCUGUGUCCUAAGUCUGUAAGCUGCCUAAUACCCUUAAUAAAUCCCUCUUUGCUUAAA